This 740-nucleotide ribosomal RNA is filed under the name uncultured bacterium. RNAcentral describes it as "bacterial SSU rRNA". It matches the Rfam family "Bacterial small subunit ribosomal RNA", at positions 56 to 784 of the family's 1533-position model. The record is from RNAcentral.
UGCAAGUCGGACGGGAUUCAGGACAGAGCUUGCUUUGUCCUGAUGAGAGUGGCGCACGGGUGCGUAACGCGUGAGCAACCUGCCCCUGUCAAGGGGUAUAGCCCCUCGAAAGAGGGAUUAACACCGCAUGACGAUAUCCCCCGGCAUCGGGGGAUGUCCAAAUAUUCAUAGGACAGGGAUGGGCUCGCGUGGCAUUAGCUAGUUGGUUGGGUAACGGCUGACCAAGGCUACGAUGCCUAGGGGCUCUGAGAGGAGAAUCCCCCACACUGGUACUGAGACACGGACCAGACUCCUACGGGAGGCAGCAGUAAGGAAUAUUGGUCAAUGGAGGGAACUCUGAACCAGCCAUGCCGCGUGCAGGAGGAAGGCCCUACGGGUCGUAAACUGCUUUUGCCGGGGAACAGCCCUAUCUACGUGUAGGUAGCUGAGUGUACCCGGAGAAUAAGGAUCGGCUAACUCCGUGCCAGCAGCCGCGGUAAUACGGAGGAUCCGAGCGUUAUCCGGAUUUAUUGGGUUUAAAGGGUGCGUAGGCGGCUUUCUAAGUCAGGGGUGAAAUACAGCGGCUCAACCGUUGCAGUGCCUUUGAUACUGGAGGGCUUGAAUGUGGUCGAAGGCGGCGGAAUGGGACAAGUAGCGGUGAAAUGCAUAGACAUGUCCCAGAACCCCGAUAGCGAAGGCAGCUGCCUAGGCCAUAAUUGACGCUGAUGCACGAAAGCGUGGGGAUCGAACAGGAUUAGAUA